This 603-nucleotide long non-coding RNA is filed under the name Homo sapiens (human). Its description in RNAcentral is "non-protein coding lnc-DCDC2C-253:1". The record is from RNAcentral. Lineage: Eukaryota; Metazoa; Chordata; Mammalia; Primates; Hominidae.
AGAUUCCGCCCCCCUGAGGACGAGUCUCUUCAUCUUUAUGAAGGGGAUGUGGUAUUGGCACCCCUGGCUUGGAUGGAGCAUGAGGCAGCUACACGGUGCUGGGAGUCAAAGAGCCUCCUGUCAUCUUGCAGUUGGAGUCUAAGAGAGUCCCCAGAAGCCACCAGGACGACAUAUGGUCUCUGCAAAUGAUGAAGCAUUUCAUGAACCAUCACAACGAAGAAGACCCAAGUCACAGCAUGCCAGGAUGAACCCAGCAAACACCACACAGUUUCACUCACCACACAGAACCAGAAGUUGACUGCUGACGGCCCUCUGAGAGGCUGCCAUAGUUUGUUAAAUAUUUUUCAAUCAGGAAACACACUCUGAGCUCCCUUCUGCAGCUGGGUAGGUGCUGAGCUCCAGAGGUUAAAAGACAAAUAUGUGUUCACAUUCUGGAGGUUAUAGCAUGCUCACAAUUAAAUGGAUUUCAUUUCAGAAUAUUACUUGUCCCGGAUUGCACACGGCAUGUGUGUAUUACGUAGAUGGAUAGACAGAUUAACAUUUAUGGAAACAAAUCAUUGUCUGCAUUAUCAGAUUGUAGUAAAUUCUUAUAAUUUUGUGUGG